This 301-nucleotide ribosomal RNA is filed under the name uncultured bacterium. Its description in RNAcentral is "partial 16S ribosomal RNA". It matches the Rfam family "Bacterial small subunit ribosomal RNA", at positions 509 to 807 of the family's 1533-position model. The record is from RNAcentral.
CAGCAGCCGCGGGAAUACGAAGGGUGCAAGCGUUAAUCGGAAUUACUGGGCGUAAAGCGUGCGUAGGCGGUGAGUUAAGUCUGCUGUGAAAUCCCCGGGCUCAACCUGGGAAUGGCAGUGGAUACUGGCUCGCUAGAGUGUGUCAGAGGAUGGUGGAAUUCCCGGUGUAGCGGUGAAAUGCGUAGAGAUCGGGAGGAACAUCAGUGGCGAAGGCGGCCAUCUGGGACAACACUGACGCUGAGGCACGAAAGCGUGGGGAGCAAACAGGAUUAGAGACCCGAGUAGUCCCUGUCUCUUAUAC